CCUACGGGGGGCUGCAGUGGGGAAUAUUGGACAAUGGGCGAAAGCCUGAUCCAGCCAUGCCGCGUGUGUGAAGAAGGCCUUCGGGUUGUAAUGCACUUUCAGUGGGGAAGAAAGCCUUGGGGCUAAUACCCUCGAGGAAGGACAUCACCCACAGAAGAAGCACCGGCUAACUCCGUGCCAGCAGCCGCGGUAAUACGGAGGGUGCGAGCGUUAAUCGGAAUUACUGGGCGUAAAGCGCGCGUAGGCGGUCUGAUAAGCCGGUUGUGAAAGCCCCGGGCUCAACCUGGGAACGGCAUCCGGAACUGUCAGGCUAGAGUGCAGGAGAGGAAGGUAGAAUUCCCGGUGUAGCGGUGAAAUGCGUAGAGAUCGGGAGGAAUACCAGUGGCGAAGGCGGCCUUCUGGACUGACACUGACGCUGAGGUGCGAAAGCGUGGGUAGCAAACAGGAUUAGAUACCCGAGUAGUC
Molecule: ribosomal RNA, 465 nt
Filed under: Vreelandella stevensii
Lineage: Bacteria; Pseudomonadati; Pseudomonadota; Gammaproteobacteria; Oceanospirillales; Halomonadaceae
Description: partial 16S ribosomal RNA
Rfam family: Bacterial small subunit ribosomal RNA
Source: RNAcentral